GGUAAGAGCGCACCGGCGGCUUGGCAACUUGACCGUCAUGUAAACCCCAUCUGGUGCAAGAUAGAUGAAAGCAUAUGGACGGCCCGUCCCGCUUUCGUAAUCGCUUGAGCAUUCCGGCGACGGAAUGCCUAGAUAGAUGGCCAUUCCAGACAGAACUCGGCUUAUAGAUUGCGCUCAUCA
Molecule: RNase P RNA, 180 nt
Filed under: Clostridiales bacterium
Lineage: Bacteria; Bacillati; Bacillota; Clostridia; Eubacteriales
Description: partial RNase P RNA component class A
Rfam family: Bacterial RNase P class A
About the family: Ribonuclease P (RNase P) is a ubiquitous endoribonuclease, found in archaea, bacteria and eukarya as well as chloroplasts and mitochondria. Its best characterised activity is the generation of mature 5'-ends of tRNAs by cleaving the 5'-leader elements of precursor-tRNAs.
Source: RNAcentral